Molecule: microRNA precursor, 115 nt
Filed under: Chlorocebus sabaeus (green monkey)
Lineage: Eukaryota; Metazoa; Chordata; Mammalia; Primates; Cercopithecidae
Description: miRNA (ENSCSAG00000022320.1)
Source: RNAcentral
AAGAUAGCGCCUAGUUAGGUUGGUGCUAAAAGUAAUUGCGGUUUUUGCCUUUAAACAUAAUGGCAAAACUCACAACUACUUUUGCCCCAGUCUAAUAGGUUUUGUUGAUUGCCAA